RNAcentral lists this ribosomal RNA (791 nucleotides) under uncultured bacterium. RNAcentral's name for it is "bacterial SSU rRNA". It matches the Rfam family "Bacterial small subunit ribosomal RNA", at positions 8 to 798 of the family's 1533-position model. The record is from RNAcentral.
AGAGUUUGAUCCUGGCUCAGGAUGAACGCUAGCGGCAGGCUUAACACAUGCAAGUCGAGGGGUAGAGGUUGCUUGCAACCUUGAGACCGGCGCACGGGUGCGUAACGCGUAUGCAACCUACCUUUUACAGAGGGAUAGCCCAGAGAAAUUUGGAUUAAUACCUCAUAGUAUAUAUCAUUCGCAUGUUAGGUAUAUUAAAGUUCCAACGGUAAAAGAUGGGCAUGCGUCCUAUUAGCUAGAUGGUAAGGUAACGGCUUACCAUGGCUACGAUAGGUAGGGGUCCUGAGAGGGAGAUCCCCCACACUGGUACUGAGACACGGACCAGACUCCUACGGGAGGCAGCAGUGAGGAAUAUUGGACAAUGGGCGCAAGCCUGAUCCAGCCAUGCCGCGUGCAGGAAGAAGCAUCUAUGGUGUGUAAACUGCUUUUGUACAGGAAGAAACAUCCCGACGUGUCGGGACUUGACGGUACUGUAAGAAUAAGGAUCGGCUAACUCCGUGCCAGCAGCCGCGGUAAUACGGAGGAUCCAAGCGUUAUCCGGAAUCAUUGGGUUUAAAGGGUCCGUAGGCGGUUUGGUAAGUCAGUGGUGAAAGCCCGCAGCUCAACUGUGGAACGGCCAUUGAUACUGCCAGACUUGAAUUACAAGGAAGUAACUAGAAUAUGUAGUGUAGCGGUGAAAUGCUUAGAUAUUACAUGGAAUACCAAUUGCGAAGGCAGGUUACUACUUGUGGAUUGACGCUGAUGGACGAAAGCGUGGGGAGCGAACAGGAUUAGAUACCCUGGUAGUCCAA